Molecule: unclassified non-coding RNA, 300 nt
Filed under: Hevea brasiliensis (rubber tree)
Lineage: Eukaryota; Viridiplantae; Streptophyta; Magnoliopsida; Malpighiales; Euphorbiaceae
Source: RNAcentral
UCUGUGUAUCACAAAAGGCAGCACCUAUAAAUUUCAGAAAAUUACUUGAGACUGAGAGAGAGGCAGACAGACAGAUAGAGACACAACAGACUUUGACAAAUCAUUACUUCCUACAAAUGCAGCAAAGCAUGGCUUGAGGUAACAGCCUCAUGCAUAAUAGCAGGAGGACUGUAGACAACUAGACAUAGGCAUAUAUGCAAGAGGAGCAGCCAAAAAGCACAUGGAAGAUUGAAACGUAACCAAAGGAAGAUGAUUAGCAUAUACAAUAAACCAAAUAUCAUGAUCUGAGUAGAAUGUAGA